This 505-nucleotide ribosomal RNA is filed under the name uncultured Geobacter sp. RNAcentral describes it as "bacterial SSU rRNA". It matches the Rfam family "Bacterial small subunit ribosomal RNA", at positions 335 to 831 of the family's 1533-position model. Lineage: Bacteria; Pseudomonadati; Thermodesulfobacteriota; Desulfuromonadia; Geobacterales; Geobacteraceae. The record is from RNAcentral.
ACUCCUACGGGAGGCAGCAGUGGGGAAUUUUGCGCAAUGGGGGAAACCCUGACGCAGCAACGCCGCGUGAGUGAUGAAGGCCCUUGGGUCGUAAAGCUCUGACAGAGGGAAAGAAAUGCAGGGGGGCUAAUAUCUCCCUUGCUUGACGGUACCCUCAAAGGAAGCACCGGCUAACUCCGUGCCAGCAGCCGCGGUAAUACGGGGGGUGCAAGCGUUGUUCGGAUUUAUUGGGCGUAAAGCGCGUGUAGGCGGUUUUAUAAGUCUGAUGUGAAAGCCCUGGGCUCAACCCGGGAAGUGCAUUGGAUACUGUAAGACUUGAAUACGGGGGAGGGCAGUGGAAUUCCUAGUGUAGGAGUGAAAUCCGUAGAUAUUAGGAGGAACACCGGUGGCGAAGGCGGCUGCCUGGACCGAUAUUGACGCUGAGACGCGAAAGCGUGGGUAGCAAACAGGAUUAGAUACCCUGGUAGUCCACGCCGUAAACGAUGAGAACUAGGUGUCGCGGGUA